This 1602-nucleotide unclassified non-coding RNA is filed under the name Hevea brasiliensis (rubber tree). Lineage: Eukaryota; Viridiplantae; Streptophyta; Magnoliopsida; Malpighiales; Euphorbiaceae. The record is from RNAcentral.
GUAGAAGCUCACAUCAAGGAAGCCUUGGCAAACCCAAUUCAAGAUACCUUGCCAUGCUGGUAGGAUGUGCCAGGUUAUUUAAAGUAGCAGGUUGGUUGUCAGUUGGCCUCAAUAAUGCUCAGACACAUACUCCAAGCACAAUGCCAUUGCAGUUUGCGGAUGCAACGUGGUACCAAAAAUGCAUUGGGCACACUAACAAUUGGUAAGUAACAUGGUUUUAUGCCCCUUUUAUUUGAUUAGGCUCCCUUCAAAUGGCAAUAAUCUGGAAAUGGAAUUUCCAUAUAGAUUCUGAAUAUGGAUGACACCAACUUAUUGAACAUAAAGGUAUCUAUCACCCAGGUUUGACAAGAUUAUCAAACAGAUGGUGAUGAGAUCAAAGGAAAAAAAACAAAAAGAAGAGAAAACUUAAAUCUACUAAUUAAGGCAUCUCUUUAGUUGGAAGCAGACUUCAGACCUUCAAUCCGACCUCUAUAAAAGGCAAGAUGUUCCCCUCUUGGAGGCAAGGAUUGCUUGACCACAUCUAUUUCACUCAUUUUCCCAAUCCAUUUGCUCAAGAAUGGAAAUUUGUUUUCACUGAUAAAAUCCGUCUGCCUAACUUCACGAGACACUUGGAACCAGUACAAUACAGCAAAUGCCACAAUGUCCAAGUAUCCGAUGCUCUCUCCUCCGAAGAAUUCCUGCCCUUUUAGCACCUUCUCAAGCAGCUUCAGAUUUUGAUCUAAUUCUUCGUUCUGCUGGUUUAUUACCUGCUUCCCUUUAGUCUGGACAGCCGAUUGCAAGAUCUGCAGGGGGAGAAAUUGUAAAAGUACCACUGAGACCAGCUGAAUGGAAAAACAUUUACAAGCCAGGAAGGAGAGUAAGACUGUGAGAGGAAGUGAUUGAUUUUACCUUUUCAUCUACGAAUUUUGCCCAGAAACGAGCAAUGGCUCUGUCGUUGGGGUUCUCAGGCAAAAUGGGAUUGUUUUUCCAGGUCUUAUCAAUGUACUCAAGAAUGACAAGAGAUUCUGCAAUUGGUUUUCCAUUGUGAACGAGCACAGGAAUUUUUUUAUGAACUGGGUUAUACUCGAGAAGCAAAGAGCUCUUAUUGGAGAAGUCUUCUUCAAUGUACUCAUACACGAUCCCUUUCAGUUUCAGGGCCAGACGUAUUCUGCAAUUGAAAGGACUAGCCCACAUUCCAAUUAGCUUCACUUCUUCUUCUGCCAUUUUGGAAUCUGCACCAUGCACCUUGUUUAGGGAUCCGUGAUUGUUGUGCGUACCUUUUAUAGACAACAUCCUGAUAAGCAAGUCCUGAACAUAGUUUGACAAUUCCGAAAUUCCUACUGGUUAGAAUUUGAAGAUAUCGACCUUUUUGACUUUUUCAGUUCUGGAAUUAUCAGUCAGAGCAUUUGAUAACACCACCUGCAAGCAGCGACUUCAUUUAUGGAUACAUCCAUAUGAAGGGAUAUUGCCGAAUUCUUCUUGCUACGAAUAUAUUGGCACAAGUUCGGCAGUCUUUGAAUCCAAGAAUAUGCGAAUUUGCCAUUGGGGAGGAUCUGAAGGUCCCUCAACACUGACAUUUUCCAUUUUUCUUUUACGGUUAAUGUAUUCUUCUGAUCUGAGGAC